RNAcentral lists this long non-coding RNA (979 nucleotides) under Mus musculus (house mouse). RNAcentral describes it as "predicted gene, 56807". The record is from RNAcentral. Lineage: Eukaryota; Metazoa; Chordata; Mammalia; Rodentia; Muridae.
AGUGAUAGAUUGCUGCAGGAACUGGAAGGGUCAAAGAAAAUGUGAAUUAGAGCCCUUACAACGUUAUAGGAGAGCCAUCUGAGUUGGAUACAGCUACUGUCUUUGCCAAAUGUCAACUUCAGGAAAUGAAUAGUCAUGUAUCAGUCAACCUAGGACUGAGAAAGUGUGAAAUGGGACUGAAGAAAAUGGUGAGAUCAGAUUCUUAGGAAACAGAUUCUGAUGGAGUGACCUGGGACCCAUCACCUGUAAGGCCCACAGGAAGAAGGGUCAGAUAUCAAUCACCCAGAGAUCAUUACACAGGUCCAGGUCAGAAACAUACCCAUUGCCAAGCUUGGCUACCAGCAUUGGCUCCUCUGGACCAUAGAUUCAGCUGACUCCCAAGGAAAUACUUCUCAGAAGAUUUCACUUCAAUGGAACUCUGCCUUAAACAAAGACAUCUGGCACCAUUUAUGAGUGCAAAUGCAGAGGCAGGAUGACUCUCAGCAAGCAAUUUUACAUGUGCUGACAUCAACACCUGUUCAUCGCCACAACGAGACACCAACUAUUCCUAAGAGGAAAAAGAUGUAACCUAUAUACCCACAAAGUGGAUUGGGAAUAUAUGGUCAUAUGGUAUAUUAAAACCAUAUCAUAGAAACUAUUGAGAAUUUACCUAACACAUCAUGACAACAAAGUGAACAGCACCCUACCUGAACCAUGUAAAAGGGAAAAAGCUGUAAUGAAGACAUCCCUAUGAACCUGUCAACUAUCUUGUGUGUGUACACUGGAAGACAGACAGACAUAGAAGUCCUGACUGUCCUUGAUGCUUCAGCUCAGCAUGCUACUUGAUGUCCUACAGCUUGAUGUCGCCCACUAAAGUUUCUAGUUUUUGACAGGUCCUAUGUCUCUUAGGCUCUACUCUACCCUGCAACCCAAUAACUUGGCUAUGUGGGUCUACAAAAUCUUCAACCAGAUUAAUAAAGGUCUACUGUAAACACCUUCA